UCAGCCGGUGAGUAUGUCCUGGGAAGCUUGUGGGCCAAGAGUGCACCUCUGAGGACCCUUAAGAAAGAACCCUGCCAGAAAGAUUCCCUGCUAGGGGAAGCCCCAGGAGAGGGAGAGAGAGGUCAGGCCAGGGACACCUCAAGUUGUCAGGGGCAAGGCCACAGAGGAGGAGUGGUGCCAUGCAGAGUGUCACACAGGGAGGGGGGCGCACCAAGGCCUCUUUGCCCUUUACAGUAACACCUCUCCUCCUAGAAGUAAGGGCCCCCUCCUCACCCAGGGAACUUUCUGGGAUCAAGCCUUUGGGGUAGGGACAGGAGAUGCUGCCAACAGGAUGAGAAAUCGAAGCUUUGAGUUAGACUGAGUUUAACUAGUUGAUGGGCCAGCAGUGGGAGGGAGGGGCCAGAGCCGGGCUGUGAGAACAAAGCCCUGGUUUCCUGCUUUCUCCCACUGGUCUGCAUCCAAUUUGCAGGCUAUGACUUUAAAUAAGGUCUCUGUUCCCUCAGGCUAUGUUGGGGGAGGUCUUCACAGGAAGGUCCCAUUCCUUUGGAUAGUUUUGUGGCAGGUACAGUUUGGGCCUAGAGGCAACACUGGUCUAUCUGUACUUGGGAGGCAUGAGGGUCAGUCCUGACCCUGCAUGUUGGUGAUCUGACCCAUCUCUUCUCCUCCCCUCUGGACUUAAGAGUGCCAUCUUAUUCACUUUGUGACCAUACAGUUUCCACUAGCCCUCAUUCAAUUCUUCUUGUUCAGAGAAUACUGUGACUCCUGAAGGAGGACCCCAAGACCUGGGUAGCCUCUCUUUGAAGAUACACUUCUGAUCCCACAAGAGUGGGAGACACGUGGACUGGGGUUGCAGGUUAGUGGAAGAGCACUUGCCUAGCAUGUGUGAGGUACUGGGUUUGAUUCUCAGCACCACAUAUAGAUAAAUAAAAUAAAGGUCCAUUGACAACUAAAAAAUAUUUUUUAAAAUAAAAUAAGAGUGGGAGGUAUGUGCUGCAGCUCCCUCUCAAGGAACUGGGAAAGUCUAAAGGUCUCAGCAGAAGUCCAUGCAACAUACUCUGUACCCAAGUACACUUGUCAGCUUCCCUGAGUUUGUGAAAAGACACCCUUAGCCAUCUUGGCAGGACCUGCAGCACCAUUUCAAGAGAGGACUGAUGAGAUGUCACUUGCCCCACUUCUCUGUGGCUCCACAUAUGGGGUGAACAGGAUAGACCACUAUUCCUCAACCUACCAGGCCACCCUGAGCCCCCACACCCCGCACCAGUUCAGUGCCCUCUAGUUUCCAGGGCACCAUAAACACCUCAAAGGUGUGUUCCUAUCAGUGUUUCUUUGGUUCACUCAGGGUAUCUAUGGAACUUUCAACAAGGUGUAGGUCUGAGGGUGGUCCAGAGGUCCAGCAAUCAUUGAUAGGUAACCUCCCUUCAAAAAGCUAAGGCUGGAUGGGGCCUGAGGCAUACAAAGUCAGCAAUUCAAAUGCCUAGACACAGAGGGCAUAGGUAAGGACCCUGAACUCCUUGGGGGAAGGAGGAGGGGAAGCUCAGGCAGGCAAAUUCUGUCCCCAGGCCCUUCAGGGCAUCGCAGGUAGCACAGUGACCUAAUACUUGCUAAGUAUGUGCAUUUCCCCAUUUCUCAGAAAACUGAGACCCUGAGAAGUGACUUGUUCAGGACACCUCAUGUAUGUGAUAAUGAAGGUCCAAAUUAAUCCCUCUGAGGCUGAACCAAACACUCCUUCCACAUGGGCUUCACCCUGUGGGGCCAUCAUGCAACAGGGCCACAGCAGCCUCCCUCCAGCCUCCCUCCUGCUGAGACCCAUGCCUCAGCCCCUGAAUGCCACAUGAGCCAUGAGCCUCACUAGGGCCUCAGCUUGACAGGGGACCUAAACUCACCUGCCAGCAGGCUCCAGAGGGCCUGUGUUCUAUCUGGGAACCCACAGAACACAGGGACAGGAGGCUUCCAAGGCCUAGGAGCAGAUCCUCCCAACCUGAGUCUGAGGCCUCCUGGGCCCAUGUGGCACAGCUCAGACAAAGAGGGUUGUGCCCCCAGAGGAAUGAAUCCAUGAUUAGUGAUAGCUUGGGGGUUCCUUUAUGCAGAAACUUGUUCCACAGUUCACUGUCCAGUAGCACUGUAUGCAUUUGUGUGUGUGUGUGUGUGCAUGUGCGCACGUGCAUGUGUGAACUAAAUAAAAGGUGCAGGAAGUCUGAUCUUAGCCAGCAGGCCCCCCAGAUCCUAGAUACUGUUUCUCCUGGAGACUGGGUUCACCCAUGGGCAAAGGAGAAGGGACCAGGCCUUGUUCCUCCCCUGGGGGAGGUCUUUAGAGACACCCCCUUCUCAGUAGCUCAGGUGCCUGGAUGUCAUCAGUAGGGUCAGCUUCUGGAGUCCACAAGGAUGGGUGAUUCCCCAAGCUGUGGUGACUAGGGUCUUCCAGACAGCGUCUAGCCAUCCUUACAACUGGCAGAACAAUUUCCUUGGUUUCCAACAACUUGAAAACCACAUGUGAUUUUCCACAGUCCCGGCUCUGCAGGCCUGGCUGCUGAGUGAGCAGAGUCCAUGCUGAAUUCCUUCCACUCACCGCAGGGCAGACAGCAGGCCCAGCUGUGGGGAGAUUCACUGGGAUGGGGGUCACCACAGCAAGGCAGGGGCGGACUUCCAGCACUGAUGAGUAAUUCUGCAGUCAGUAAAUCUGGGAAGAGGGCAUGUGACCACUUAAUGUAACAAUCAGCCCAGUGUUAAGUUACAAAGGAGGAGGCAUUCUUCAAAACAAGGUUGAGUGGCAAAAAUAGUUUAAUCCCCACUUCACAUCUUCAUCAAAAUUAACUCCAGAGGAUGGAAGAUAUCAAGGUUAGGGGAAAAAACCUCAAAUGUAGUAAAAGAAAAUAUGAGUCCGUGUUUAUAUUCUUGGUGGGGGAAGUUAUCUAAGGAAGGAUAGAGAAUUUUGAUUUCAUAAAAUUUUUGCCUUCUGUAUAAUAAAAAUACUCUGAAGAUAAAAUUUAAAAGCAGGGCUCGGGUCAUAGCUGUGGUAGAAUGUUUGCCUGGCAUGUGUGGGGCACUGGGUUCAAUUCUCAGCACCACAUAUGAAUAAAUAAAGGUCCAUCGACAACUACAAAAAAAUUUUUUUUUAAUUUUAAAAGCAAACAAAACACUGGAAAAGAAUCUGUAAUCCUUCCAUCUGAAAUAGCCUCUUGUAGCCAGGCACAAUGGCACAGACCUAUAAUCCCAGAGGCUCGGGAGGCUGAGGCAGAAAGCUCACUAGUUCAAAGCCCCCUCAGCUAAGCAACUCAGUGAGAUUCUAUCUCUAAAUAAAAUACAAAAUAGCAGGGCUGGGGUUGUGGCUCAGUGGUAGAGUGCUUGCCUCGUGUGUGUGUAUGUGUGACUGGGUUCAAUCCUCAGUACCACAUAAAAAUAAAUAAAUAAAAUAAAGGUAUUGUAUCCAUCUACAACUAAAAAAAAUUUUUUUUAAAAUGGUACAAAGAUUCACAGGUAAAAAUCCAGACACUUAUGCCUUGAUAAAGGAAAGCUGCUAAAUAAACUUCUUUAUAUUUUUUAAAACUAAUUUGACUAUAUUGUUCCUUUAAAAAGUGAUCUAGAGUGCUGCUUGCCUGGCAUGCAUGAGGCCCUGUGUUCUAUGCUCAGCAUUUCAAAAAGAAAAAAAAGUGAGCCAAGACUCAGUGGAAUACUGUGUGCUUAGCAUGCAUGAGGCCUUGGGUUCAAUCCCCAGCACCAAAAAAUAUGUAUAAAUAAAUAAGCUCACAAAAGGAGAAACAUAAAUGAGUAGGAAACAUGCAAAUGUUCUACCUCACUAAAAGUUGUAAAAGUUCAAAUUCAAAUGUACCCAAUACUGCUUUUUCCUUAAUUCUCAGUUAAAAAUCUCUCAAUAUAAGCAGUAAUGGGAGAUUACUGUCUGAGUACUACUAGUAACAGGGACCUUCACACUAUUUGGGUCAUCUUAUUCAAGGUGAUUUGAUUGAAAAGAGCAGAAGCCCUACAAAGCAGCUGAACCCCAAUCAGCCAUCUUGCUAAGUGACAGAAAAUCCGAUGUAAUAAUGACUAAAAUAAGGUAGAAACAUAUUUCUUGCUCACGUAACUAAAUUGAGGCAAGUAGUCUGAAGCUGGUAUGGUAGCCUAACAACCACCAGAGAUUCUAGCUCCUUCCAUUUUGUUGUUCCCCUAAGCUCCACAGAGAGCUUCUUUCUCAAGAGUACAAAAUAGCUAUUUGAGACCCAGCCAUCAUUGCAUCAUCCUAGCCAGCAGAAAGAAGGGAAGGGAAUAAUAUUAAUGUUCAACAUCUUCCUCUACAAACACUUUCUAGAAGCUCACACAAAACUCCAUGUUCACUCCGUUGGCCUUAGCCACAACUCUGUCACAGGCCAUGCCCAGCUACAAAGAAAGCUAGGAAGUAUGGUCUUUUUCUGAUGUUCUGGGCUCACUAAAUGUCAGGUGUUCUAUCCCUAAAGAAGGAGACAGAUACUGAGGAAUAAUUAACAGUCUUAGUUACAUAUGGUAUUCUCUUGCUUUUGUGUCUAGUAAGAGUGCUAAAAUCUUAGACCAGUGUAAAAAAAAAAGUCAAUAUUUGGAAGAGGAAACUGUGAAAGCUGAAAUCCCAGGAAAGUGUAAGAAUAAGAAAUCAAUGGUGGCAUUAGCAAGUUUGUAGCCAGUUUCUGAGUGAGGUAUUCAUAUCCUUGCCUGUUUGUCUGCAGACUCAGCCCGUAGCUCAGCCAAGGAAAGCAAGAAACAGGCACCAGCUUCAGGAAGGGAGGGGAUCCUAAAAGGCACCCAUCCCAUUUCCACAGCUCCUGCUGUUAGUGAGGGUGCCAGAAGGGCUGGGGAUGUAGUUCAGGGGUAGAGUAUUUGCCUAGAAUGCAUGAGGACCCUGGUUAAGUUUCCAGCACCACAAAAGAGAGAGAGAGAGAGAGAGAGAGAGAGGUGGGGAGCAGAAUGCCCCCCUAGUCUCUAGCUAUGACCUCUUCUAACAGCCACGCUUCUCCAAGGAGUUGUUUGCACUUGAAGUUUCCAAUUCCUCAGCCCCAGGCAUCUGUUCUUGCCCCUGGCAUCUGGACUCAGACCCAGGGACCACACAGGCAACCAGUCCUGCCCAGCCACUGCAGGCUUUCUUUGACAGGGUUAAGUCUAGGAUUGCCCCGUUUUUCUCCUCUCCCACCCCCAAGGUCAGCUCCUUUUUUCCUUAUGAAAAACCAGCCUCUACCUCAGAGCAAAGCCUGCCCAAAUAGGUCCCCAACUGAGGGAACUAUGAUUGGUUCCCAAGUUUCCAGACAAAGGGGGGAAUGAAAAACCAGCCUCUACCUCAGAGCAAAGCCUGUCCAAGGAAGGGACAUGACCUUUGUCCUUGGAAAGACCCACAGAGCUCUCCUAGGCACAUUCCCACCCUGCUAAGUUGUUUAUCUACAAAUAACAGGAGAGACCUGCUGCGCCAGGUGUCCCUGACUCAGUGGGGAUCCAUAGUAACCCCCUAGCAGCCACCAAUCAGCAUGAGACAGGGAAAUACCUGGGAUGCCAGAUGACCCUCCCAGUAGUUUAUGGUGGUUGAUAACAUGUUGGGAAACCAUGUAGUUCAGCACGUACACCCGUCUUGGCUUAAACCAAUCAGUUCAAAUGAAUCCCCCUCUUGUAGUAACCAAUCACCCCUACCCAACUUAUUCCUGUCAGUGAAUGUGCUAAUCAUGUCUUAGAGUUGUUAUUUGAUUUUCCCGUGGUGUAUGAUGAUUUGCUAAGAGAUGCUAUGAUGUAUGUGGGGGUCCCUGCCUUCUCCAAAGAAUGUAUAAAACAGCUGCAAACCCUGGGCUCGGGGCCUCUCAGCGUCACCAGUUGCUGUGUGUGCGCGGAGGACCCAGCUAGCUCGCAAUAAACACCUUUUUGCUGUUUACAUCGAUCUUGGUCUCUGGUGGUCUUUUAGGAGUCCCGAAUUCAAGCAUAACACUUACUCUGCCUUUUCUCUCUGGGAACCUGAUGCUUUCUCCCUGUUUCAGAGACCUCCCCACCUGCCAAAGAUACUUCUUCUUCUUUUUUUAAUGCCAACAUCCUUGGCCUUUGUAAUAGUUAAUUUGAAUUGUCAAUUUGUCACAGAUUAAGAAGAUUAAGAGGAUUAUGGCUUUGUAGAUAAGGGUGUGUCUAGGAAUGACUGGCAUGUGGGAUAGCCAACUAAAAUGGAGACCCUCCCUAAACAUGCGCAGCACCAACCAAUAGGUUGAUGGUUUGGAUGGAAUAAAAGUUGGAAGAACAAAGAAGCAGCAGCUGAUGAAAGCUGCUUUCUUCUUGAACGGGUUCUUGAUUGCUGCUGCAAUCGUCUUAGGAUAUCAGACUCUCUCUUCUUCACUCUUCCAAAGUGGACUCUGAUAGUGAUUUUCCAGAAGGCUUAGGUCUCAGACUAGAGUAGCACUGUUGAUUUCUCUUGUUCUGGGGCUUCAGCCUCUUGGACUGACCAGCUAUUGGUUUUUCCAGUUCUCCAGCCUGCAGGUGGCCCUCGUGGACUAUCUAGCUUCUGGUCGUGUAGCCAACCUAAUAAGUGCCCCCCCCUUUUUUUGAUACUGGGAAUUGAACUCAGGGGCACUUGAACACCGAGCCACAUCCCCAGCCCUAUUUUGUAUUUUAUUUAGAGUCAGGGUCUCACUGAGUUGCUUAGUGCCUUGCCUUUGCUGAGACUGGCUUUGAACUCGCAAUCCUCCUGCCUCGGCCUCCAGAGCUACUGGGAUUACAGGCAUGCGCCACUGCGCCCAGCCAAAUCCCCUUUUUAUAAUUAUACUUCCUAUUGAUUCUGUUCCUCUAGAGAAUCCUGACUAAUACAGCCUACUGCCUCCCAUGAGCCUAAGCUUUGGUCAUUCUCCAGCAUUCUCACCACAGCUAACCCACAUGCCCAUUCCAGGCCUCUCUUUGAGCCUCCACAUAUCACCCACAGACCAUCAUAGAGGGCUUGGGGAACUCCCUGUGUUCUUCAAGGAGGAAGUUUCACCCUCUGCUUGAACCCCUCCCGAACUUCCUCUUCCCUCAGGCUUUGGAAUGAGCCUGCACUCCCAAGAAGCAGGUACCUCAUUUCUGGGCCCUUGAAACCCAUGCUCCCUCCAGUUCACUAUGGCUGAGCCUCACCACUGCAGGCCUAGUACCUUGUCCCUUUGGUAAAUCAUUCCUUCACAGUCCUGAAGGAAAUAUAUUCCCAAAGGGUAAGGAAGGCUGACUUGGUCACUCUGUGUCCACUAGCUUAGAGCUCACUUUUGGGGACUUAAAAAAAAAAUUAGCUUUCCGGGAGGUUACUAUUGGUGCAUCUAAAGCCAGACAUCAGGGCCCUUGUGAAGUGUGGUCUGCUGAUAGGAUGGGGGCGGGAGUCUCCUAGUAGGAAGUACCUCUCAGGGGCAGCAAGAGGCAGGGGCUUACAUUCAGCACAAAGACCAUUUGCUCACUCAGAGAAUAUCUGUAAACGACUUCAUGUGUCAGGAUCCCAAGCCCACACAGAGGUGCCCUGCCCUUGGAGUCUUCUCUCCAGAAGAGGAAAGAGUUGGCUACAACCUAGUGCUGGGGGUACAUGGGGCCCAACCCUGAGGACCAGCAUGGACUUCCUGGGGGAAUGCAUGAGUGGGAUGAACCAGGUGAAUCCCUGGGAGAGGGUGACAGGGUAUGUCAAGGCUCCAGUUAGGAUGACCUUAGGGGAUGUCAGAAAUACGGGCACAUGGUACAAACAGGGUCUGAGGACAUGGGAGACCAGCCUGAGAUUGGGUUCCAUCAUGGGCAGAGGGGCUUCAUGGGGCUAACUAGGCAGGGAUAGCAAGUCACUGGGAUGGCCUGCACUGAACAGAGGUGGAUGGCCAAUGGGGACAAUGCUGAGAUAGACCACAAGAACUGGCCCAGGAGUUUAUGGAGGCUAGGACAGAGCCAGCAAGGUUGAGAACUUGUGGGAGGUAUCUGAAAGGGCUAUGGGGAGAGCAGGGGACUGCAGAUGUGGAGUCCCCCAUCCCCAGGGCCUCUUACAGAGAACCAGCUAUACAUUCCUGUGAAGAGUGAGGGGAGGGCAGACAGCAGGUGGUGAUAGGGACACAUGAGCCCAUUCCAGCCAAAUGCAGUGGUAGAACUGGAUAUAAGGAAGGGGUAACCACAUUGUUUAUCCUCCCUUGAGAUGUUACUUCCCAAAGUCAGUUUGUGGUGUGGGGCCUGAAGGGCCACAGGCUCCCAUACCCUAUGUCCCUUAAUGCCUGGUGCCAGGCUGGACACCAGGCGUUUCUGUUGACCUCCCUGCCCGGUCUGCACUCCUGCUAGCUGUUCCCCAUCACAGCUCAACUGGUUCUACACAAUUGCUACUGACACAGGGAAUAAGGAUGGGGACAGAGAACUUUAGAGUGGUCAGUGUCUUCCCCCUACCCUGAAUUGCAGGACCAGGCAGUGCCUCUGUCCAUAUUGGUCAGUGCCUUUCCCAGUUGCCCACUAAAGCCAGCAGGAGCCUGGGCUCAGCACCCACCUAGCAGAAGCCCUUUCAUGCCCAUGUUGGUCACCCCACUGGCUGUGGCUCUGUUGAAUAUGCUUACUUUUAAAAAUAUAUAUAUUUAUUUUUUAGCUGUAGAUGGACAAACACCUUUACUUUGUUUAUUUAUUUUUAUGUAGCUGAGGAUUGAACCCAGUGCCUCACACGGGCAAGGCAAGUGCUCCACCACUGAGCCACAACCCCAGCCCGGAUAUGCUUACUUUAAAAAAAAAAAAAAAAAAUAUAUAUAUAUAUAUAUAUAUAUAUAUAUAUUUUAGUUGUAGUUGGACACAAUAUCUUUAUUUUUUAUUUAUUUAUAUGGAGUGCUGAGGAUCAAGAACCCAGGGCCUCGCAAAUGCUAGGCACUGAGCCACAACCCCAGCACCCCCAUAUGCUUACUUUUAAAAAGUCCUUUAUUAUGCAAGUACUGCAUGCUCAUUGUAGAGAAAUUAGAAAUGACAAAAGGCCAGGGGCUGGAGUGGUAGCUCAGAGGUAGAGUGCUUGCCUGGCACAUGUGAGGCCCUGGGUUCAAUUCUCAGCACCACAUACAAAUAAAUAAAUUAAAUAAAGGUCCAUCAAUGACUAAAAAAUGUUAAAAAAAAAAAAAAAGAAAAUAAAUGACAAAAGGCCAAAUAACAAAGCUAUUCUGUUUUAUCAAAUUCCAGACCAUCCCACCUCCCAGGAAGAAUAACUACCAGUUUGUUACAACAAUGUCCAGAGGUUUUUUGGAAGUGAGCAGACCUGGAGAAGCCCUGAAGGAGCCAGACAGCCAGGUUCACACCCCAACACUGCUGUUCAUCAGCUAUGCAAGCUUGGCCAAGGGGCUUGCUCUGUCUGUGUCUACAACUCCUCCCCAGAAGGAUGGGGACAGUGAUAUCACCCUCUGACAGGAGUUCCAGCACAUUCAUGAGUUGACACGUGUAAAGUGCUUACAGCAGUCUGGCACAGAUCACUGGGCAAGGCUUGAUCUCAUUUUGAAUAUGUGCACACACUUAGAAACAUUCUAUUAUGGAAAAUUUCAAUCAUCUGCAAAAACAGUGAAAUGAUAUACUGAACUGUCUGCCCUGGCACCUGCUCCUGAAGUUCAACUCAUGACCCACUUUAUUUCAUCUGUGUUUUACCUUUUCCUCCAUCCGAAGACAUCACAUGAUUUCACCAAGAAAUAUGUUAUUGUGCCUUUCUUUUUUCUUUAUUUUCCUUUUUUUUUCUUUAUCACGAGGAAUUGAACCUAGGUAAAUGUUCUAACAUUGAAGUACAUCCCCAGCCAUUUAAAAAUUUUUUAAUUAUAUUUUGAAAAGAGUCUUGCUAAGUUGCCCAGGUUGGCCUCCAACUUGUUUGUGAUCCUCCUGCCUCAGCUUUCCCAAAUAUUUAUUGUUCAUUUUUUAAAAAAUUCUCUUUCCUAUAAACUUUUAUCAUUUUUGAAAAUUCCAACUAUAAUUCCUUAAUAGCCAAUAUCCACCCAUAGUGCAUAUUUCCUUAAUUGCCCCAUAUGUUUUAUUUUUAUUUUUUACAGUUUAUUCAUUUGAAACAGGAUCUAGAUAAGGAUAGUGGGCUGGGAUUGAUAGAACUCUUACAUCUGUUUUAACCUAUAGACUCCCCCUCUUUUGUGGUUUGGAUCUGAAAUGUCCUCCAAAAGCUGAUGUGUUGGAGGCUUGGUCCCUGUGUUAGACAACUUUGCAACACUGUGACCAUUUUCAAGGAUUCAAGAAAUGGUCAGCUGGCUCCAUUGCUCUGGGCCUUUGGUGAGGCAGAACAUCAUGGAAGGUUUGCAGCCAAGGAAAUCUGCUUAGCUCAUGGUGGCUGGGAAGGAGAGAAAGACAGAGAGAAAAGGAGAGAGGAAGGGGUCGGAGAGAAAAUAAAUUCUUCCAGGGCAUGCCCCUGUGAUCUACUUCCUCCAACACCUCCCAGGAAUCCAUUCAGCUAUCAUCAAAUAGAUUAAUUCACUGAUGAGAUAGGAGCCUGUUAGGGUUUGGAUAUGAGGUGUCCUCCAAAAGUUUCUGUUAAUGCAGUAAUAGUCAGAGGUAAAAUGAUUGGACUGUAAGAUCUGUGACCUAAUCAGUCCAUCCUUGCUUGAAUGGACAGAUUGGGGGUUAACUGUAGGCAGGUAGGGCCUGGCUGGAGGAGGUGGGUCAUUGGAGGUGUACCUUGGAAGGGUACAUCUACCCUGAGGCCCCUUCCUCUACCCCCUCUCUAUCUGCUUCUAGACCCUGCCAUGAGUUGAGCAGCGUUUCUCCACUGGGCUCUUCCUCCAUGACAUAUUGUCUCACUUUGGGCCCAAAGCCAUGGAAUCAGCCAUCUAUGGUCUGAGAUCUCUGAAACUGAGUUCAAAAUAAACUUUCCCUUCUCUAAAUUGUUCUUUUCAGGUAUUUUUGUUACAGUGAUAAAAAGCUAACUAAGACAGCCUCAUCAUUCAAUCAUUGCUUAAAAGCCCCACUUCUGGACACAGCUGCAUUGCCUCCAACACAUGAGCCUCUUAGGGGACAUUCCAGAUCUAAACCAUAACAGUCCCCAAAGCAGCAGUAUUCCAAGGCAGGAGGUGAUUGUUAAUGAGGGCUCUAAUCUUAUCAAUGGAGGAAUUCAUUGAUGGAUUCAUAGCUUAAUGGGGUUAUUGGGAGGUGGUGGAAACUGUAAGAGGUGGGGCUUAGUUGGAGGAAGUGGGUCACUGGUGACUGGUCCCAGAAGAGUAUAUCUUGUCUCAGGUCCCUUCCUCUCUGAUCCUAUCUGCUUCCUAGCUGCCUGAGCUAAGGAGAUAUCCUCUACCAAACGCUUCUGUCAUGGUGUUUGGCCUCAUCUCAGGCCCCAAGCGAAGUGGCCAAGCAAUCAGGACUGAAAUCUCUAAAAUCAUGAGCCAAAACAAGCAUUUCCUCCUUUUAAGUUGUUUAUGUCAGAAUUUUGUCACAGCAGUGGAAAGCUGACUAACACACCCUCUCUCUCUUUUGUUCUUGUACUUUAUUUGUUGAAUCUAAGCUGAUUGCCUUUAGUGUUCC
RNAcentral lists this long non-coding RNA (11442 nucleotides) under Marmota monax (woodchuck). Lineage: Eukaryota; Metazoa; Chordata; Mammalia; Rodentia; Sciuridae. The record is from RNAcentral.